RNAcentral lists this long non-coding RNA (1041 nucleotides) under Musa acuminata (dwarf banana). RNAcentral describes it as "long non-coding RNA (MACU_LNC001148)". Lineage: Eukaryota; Viridiplantae; Streptophyta; Magnoliopsida; Zingiberales; Musaceae. The record is from RNAcentral.
CAGUCUUAGCCAUACCUGGAUAUUCAUAUGUCCAAAUUGAUGUCAAGCUUUAAAUUUACUUAUAUUUACCUCAAAAUAUGACAUUUGAUUGAUUAUCUCCAUAUCCCAUAUUCUUUUCUUUCAUUCUUCUUCUUUACACAUUUGUUCCUAGGCUUUCUUAUACAGACAUAUGAUUGAUAGGUUUAAACAUCUUAAUUAUUUGUUGGUGAGAUGCCCACCUCAUUUGUUAUAUCUAUAUUCACCAUUAAUCCUAUGUGGAUCUGACAUCUUGCACUGAUCCAAUAGUUUCUGUAUCUAAUUUAAGUGGGUACAAUAAUAGAAUUUAGUAUCCCCUCAUACCCAUAUAUGAAUUACAGUACAUUUUCACCCUAAGAAAAGGCUUUGUUAUUAACAACAUAACUAUAUCUGCUGUAGAAGUUCUAUUUUGUACAAUGGGAGUCUAGCUUGAUAUAUUCAUACCAUAGCAAAAGCAAAAAAGUCGAAUGAAUGGUAAGAUGAAUUCAAACAAAAACUAAGAAUAAUGCUUGUUUUUGUAUCAACUAUCAAAUACAUCUGAAACCUAUAAGACACAGCAGGCUCUAUAUGCACAAAACUUGGAAAAACUUUCAAUCAAUAAUUGCCAUGUUGGUUGGUGUGCCAUAUGCCAAACGCCAUUGUUUUGCUGUGGCAAAAUGCUAGCUUGGUAUAUGGCAAACUGCUAGCAAGCAAGGGGUCAUGAAUAGAACCAUGCCAACCUAAGGCGAGAAUUAUUUUCACAUUUUUCUAAGAGAUAAUUGUUCAAGACAAGCUCAGCAACAAAAUGAAAGAUAGGUACAGAAGAUGACAAAUAUGACAGAACCAAAAUCCUUCACUUCGAACUCAGCACCAUGGCAUGUUGUGGUGUCCAAAUCAAUAAAAAUUCCCACUUGAUUACCAAUUUUUCUAGUACUUUAUGAUUUGACAUGAGAAAUUGUGACAUCAUCCCAUGUAAAGUUAGUUUGUAUUUUCUGUUAAUAGCAUACACUGCACAUCAGUUAGAAAAACAACAAUCGACUCCUUUAU